This 243-nucleotide ribosomal RNA is filed under the name uncultured bacterium. Its description in RNAcentral is "partial 16S ribosomal RNA". It matches the Rfam family "Bacterial small subunit ribosomal RNA", at positions 534 to 776 of the family's 1533-position model. The record is from RNAcentral.
GCAAGCGUUGUUCGGAAUUACUGGGCGUAAAGGGCUCGUAGGCGGCCAACUAAGUCGGAUGUGAAAUCCCCAGGCUCAACUUGGGAACUGCAUCCGAUACUGGAUGGCUUGAAUUCGGGAGAGGGAUGCAGAAUUCCAGGUGUAGCGGUGAAAUGCGUAGAUAUCUGGAGGAAUACCGGUGGCGAAGGCGGCAUCCUGGACCGACAUUGACGCUGAGGAGCGAAAGCUAGGGGAGCAAACGGG